UACGGAGGAGCAGUGGGAAUAGUUAGCUACAAUGGGACGCGAAGCCUAGACUGCAGCCAUCGCCGCGUCGUAUGAAGAAGGAACCUUCCGGGUUGUAAAGUACUUUCUAGUCGUGAGGAAGGUGUUAAGGUUAAUAACCUUAGCAAUUGACGUUAGCGACAGAAGAAGCACCGGCUAACUCCGUGCCAGCAGCCGCGGUAAUACGGAGGGUGCGAGCGUUAAUCGGAAUUACUGGGCGUAAAGGGCACGCAGGCGGUUAAUUAAGUUGGAUGUGAAAUCCCCGGGCUUAACCUGGGAAUGGCAUUCAAGACUGGUUAGCUAGAGUCUUGUAGAGGGGGUAGAAUUCCAUGUGUAGCGGUGAAAUGCGUAGAGAUGUGGAGGAAUACCGGUGGCGAAGGCGGCCCCCUGGACAAAGACUGACGCUCAUGUGCGAAAGCGUGGGGAGCAAACAGGGAUUAGAUA
RNAcentral lists this ribosomal RNA (462 nucleotides) under uncultured bacterium. RNAcentral's name for it is "bacterial SSU rRNA". It matches the Rfam family "Bacterial small subunit ribosomal RNA", at positions 340 to 784 of the family's 1533-position model. The record is from RNAcentral.